UACGAACUGUGCGAACGUUAUUCGGAAUCACUGGGCUUACAGGGUGCGUAGGCUGCGAUGCAAGUCAGGUGUGAAAGCCCCCGGCUCAACCGGGGAAUGGCGCUUGAAACUGCAUUGCUUGAGUGAGCUAGAGGUACACGGAACUUCCGGUGGAGCGGUGAAAUGUGUUGAUAUCGGAAGGAACACCAGAGGCGAAGGCGGUGUACUGGAGCUUGUCUGACGCUGAGGCACGAAAGCCAGGGGAGCAAACGGG
Molecule: ribosomal RNA, 253 nt
Filed under: uncultured bacterium
Lineage: Bacteria
Description: partial 16S ribosomal RNA
Rfam family: Bacterial small subunit ribosomal RNA
Source: RNAcentral